UGGGGGAUAUUGCACAAUGGGCGAAAGCCUGAUGCAGCGACGCCGCGUGGGGGAUGAAGGCCUUCGGGUUGUAAACUUCUUUUGCUCUGAACAAGGCAUGCUAAUGGGUGUGUUGAGUGUAGGGGUUGAUUAGCGCCGGCUAACUACGUGCCAGCAGCCGCGGUAAUACGUAGGGCGCGAGGGUUGUCCGGAAUUAUUGGGCGUAAAGGGCUUGUAGGUGGCUGGUUGCGUCUGUCGUGAAAGCUCAUGGCUUAACUGUAGGGUUGCGGUGGGUACGGGCUGGCUUGGGUGCAGUAGGGGAGGCUGGAAUUCCUGGAGUAGCGGUGGGAUGCGCAGAUAUCAGGAGGAAUACCGGUGGCGAAGGCGGGUCUCUGGGCUGUUACUGACACUGAAGAGCGAAAGCAUGGGGAGCGAACAGG
Molecule: ribosomal RNA, 419 nt
Filed under: bacterium
Lineage: Bacteria
Description: partial 16S ribosomal RNA
Rfam family: Bacterial small subunit ribosomal RNA
Source: RNAcentral